UAGUGAAACACCAGUUCUCAUACGAUCACCGAAGUUAAGUAAAGUUGAGUCUGGUCAAUACCUAGAUGGGUGAUUGCUUGGGAAUAUCAGAUGC
This is a non-coding RNA of Acanthosepion pharaonis, 94 nucleotides long. The record is from the annotation of a GenBank genome assembly. Lineage: Eukaryota; Metazoa; Mollusca; Cephalopoda; Sepiida; Sepiidae.